Homo sapiens (human) is the source of this 4657-nucleotide RNA transcript. It is a transcript of the gene named ARF like GTPase 6, with no coding region annotated. Lineage: Eukaryota; Metazoa; Chordata; Mammalia; Primates; Hominidae. The record is from RefSeq and is marked reviewed. The transcript has 10 exons.
AAGGCGCCUGCUCAGCGACUGAUGCACAGACUGCUGCAGAGGCUGCCGGUUUUCCCAACUUCUAGAGACGGCUUUGCUCAUUACCAGGCAUCCUUCCCAUGUAGGCAUCGAGAAGAAGGCUGAGGGACCCUCGCACCAGAUUUCCAUCCCGGAGACCGAUACGAGUGCGUCCAUUCCUGUUGCCAGCUCCUGCGCCCUCCGGACUAACCUCAAAAACCAGAAAAACUGCCUGCUCUUCUAAAUUGUGUGUCCCAAAAUAUUUCAUUAACAAGUAUCAAGUGAUAAUCCAUGGAAAAGUGAUGGAAAGUCACAAUACAAGCUGGUUUGUAAAUAUUUGAAUCACAUUAUGGGAUUGCUAGACAGACUUUCAGUCUUGCUUGGCCUGAAGAAGAAGGAGGUUCAUGUUUUGUGCCUUGGGCUAGAUAAUAGUGGCAAAACGACGAUCAUUAACAAACUUAAACCUUCAAAUGCUCAAUCUCAAAAUAUCCUUCCAACAAUAGGAUUCAGCAUAGAGAAAUUCAAAUCAUCCAGUUUGUCAUUUACAGUGUUUGACAUGUCAGGUCAAGGAAGAUACAGAAAUCUCUGGGAACACUAUUAUAAAGAAGGCCAAGCUAUUAUUUUUGUCAUUGAUAGUAGUGAUAGAUUAAGAAUGGUUGUGGCCAAAGAAGAACUCGAUACUCUUCUGAAUCAUCCAGAUAUUAAACACCGUCGAAUUCCAAUCUUAUUCUUUGCAAAUAAAAUGGAUCUUAGAGAUGCAGUGACAUCUGUAAAAGUGUCUCAGUUGCUGUGUUUAGAGAACAUCAAAGAUAAACCCUGGCAUAUUUGAUGCUAAAACUGAAGACAGAAGAGUUCAAUGACCUAGUCAAGCUCCCUCAGCUAAUAAGAAAAUGAUUGAGAUCUACCGACUUUUUGUUUUACUCUACCAGCUUACCAAACCUAUAAUUAUGGGUUUUUAUCCUAAAGAUAUCAAAUUCCAUUUCAAACAAAGGCACACCAUAAUAUGGCUGUAUUAUAACUCAAGUCAAGCAUUUCUAAUAAUGAGAUUGAAUGAUUGGAACUGAGCAAAGUAGGAUAGUGGGCUGUACAAAACUUUUCUACCACUGGAAAAAUAAAAGUAUUUGUUUUGUUAAUGUCAGUGUAAGAACUAAUCCUGGGAUAAAAUAACUUUUUUCAAAAUCUGUUUAUAAAUUGUAAACAUAUCUUGUUCCUGAGCACUCAGACUUUUAUUUUCUGUUUAUUUUCAAUUUCAAUGCUUAACCAGUUUUGCUCAGAUAUAUGUUGUUAUAAUGUGUUAAUUCUCCAUAUGGCAAAAUUGUAAUCCUUUAUUCUUAUAGUUUUGUGAUGUAAUGAGAUGGCUAUGUUUCUUAUGGAUUUCAUUUCAGUGCUAGUGAUGCCAUAAAAGGAGAAGGCUUGCAAGAAGGUGUAGACUGGCUUCAAGAAAAAACAAUACAAUCAGAUCCAGACUGUGAAGACAUGAAAAGAUAAUAGUUGGAAACCUCAGCAAUUUUCAAUUCAAGGAAUCUAUCUAAGACAAAUAGAAUACAUUUUGUAAAAGAUGUUUAUGCAUCAAAAAAUAUAAUUUUCUGCUUGCAUUUAUGGACUCUGACCUUUUUAAGAACAUAGGACUUCAGGUAUGCUAAUUUGGCCAUUAAUUAUUUAAAAACUAAAUAUUCCCUCAAAAGGGCUCCCUAGAAUUAUCAAGUUCUUAGUGAAGGUCUACAUUUGAUUGUACGUAGAAUGUUUAAAAGUCAGUUAUAAGCCAUCUCAUCCCAUCAUAAUUUAUGAUAUGUUUAAUAUAUUUUAUUUUUUAAUUGUCUUUUUAAAAAAUUUAGUUUAUGACUUUGCAGUAUGAAUUGUGCUUGUGAAAAAGAACUUUAAAUAUUUAUAAGGGACCAUGGGUAAUUAAUAUAUAUUCAAUUUUUACUAUGUGUCACUGUCAAUAAAAUGUAAAAUAUAAUGUGCCAACUAGUGCGCUUUGUUUAUGCUGAAAAGAAUAAUGCUCUGUUAGUAUGGUAUUUCGUGUCAUACUGUCAAGCAUUUGUAAACCAUCUGAGACUAAGUUAAGCUGAAUUUAUUUAUUCAGUGUAUGUUGAACAUCUCUACACCAACUAGUCAGACAUAGUCCUAGGCAAUGAUGUUACGAGGUAAAUAAGACAUAUCCUUAUCUUCAGAGAACUUAAAAUUUAAUGAGGGAUAAUUUGAGAACCUUUCCAUGGAUAGUAUCUAAUUUUAUUUCAUUGGCUGAAUGAAAAUAUUGCAUCUUCAGAUUAAGAGGUAUAAAGUAAAUUAAUAUUUGACUGUUCAGUAAUCAUUACUGACAUCUUGUUUUUCACUUUUAAAUGCCUCCAAUUUACCAUAGCACUUUGUUAAAAUAAAUUGUGACUUUUAACUUUUUCAUGAACAUAACUGCUACAUAAAUGUUCUUUAGAAUUUUAGACAUAUCUCAGGCACACAAAUUAUUAGUUCUCACAAAUUAGAGAACACUUAUAAUUGUGAACUCUAAAUAGAAACCUUCAUUUUAAUCACUGAGCAACAGUAUAUAGAGCAAUAUUGUUGAUCCUGAUAAACACUGCAUAUAAAGAAAAACUGUAAUAUACAAUAUAUACCAUCUCAAGUAUGCUUAGCUUUGAAAAUGAUGAAAAUAGAAGGCAAAAGUAAGUGAGUAAUAAAGAUGUUAUAGUAACUGCAGUAGUGGUACAUGUUUCACAAAGAUUUUAAUAAAAGCACAUAAAGCUACAAUAAAAGUUCUAUAUUCCAGUUUCUUAUAGUCCAGAAAUAGCAGUGAUUUGGCAUUUGGCAAAUUGAAAGUUACCCAGAAAAUUCCAAUGGCUCAGCAUCUUAGCUAGUUUACCAUCUCUCUUGUAAAUUGUUUUAGAGGAUACAAAAUGAAAAUCUCAUUAAUCUAAAGUUGCUGCAGAUAUAGGAAGGACAUAAGGAUGGAAACAAUGAAUGUAAUUUUUUAAAAAACUGAUAUGCUACAACUAUUUUAGGAUGGAGAAAGAAUUGAUUGAGAAUUCAAAUCCUCACUCACUUACCAUAAGGUAGUAAUAAAAUUAAUAAUAGUUACUACUAUAUGAUCAUUAUAUUAUAAGCAGGUAUUACACAUACAGAAUUUUCAACAUUUAAUCCUCCCAAUAAGCCUAUGUGGCAGGUUUUAUUAUUUCCAUUUUAUAGAUCAGUAAACUGAGGCGUUAAAAUGUUAUGUAAUUUGCCAAAGUUCAAAAAGCUGGUAAGUCUGGUACUAGGAUUCAGUACCAAGCAGUCUGUUUUAAGACAGAUGAUUCAAGAGUAUGAUAGAUAUUAGAAAUACAGAUAUAUCUGCCAGAAUAACAAUUAAAAUGAUAGAAAAGGCUCUUACUUGGGACAGCAACCAGGACAGGGAUGGUAGAGGGAAGGUCAGAGACUAGAGACUACUCUUUGCUUUUUUUGUUUUCUUUUUUUUUCUUUUAAAGCUAUUAACACUACUCAAAUUUUAAACUCUGGAUACAAAUGACUUUGAUAAAAGUCCUUAAAACUAUUUUGACAUUAAAUUAUUUGGUAUUCCACAAACUACAGUAGCUCAUACCUAUGCAAAUAUUUAGAAGAAGGAGAAGUACCCUUUUUCUUUGUUUUCAUGAUCUCCAAAAUCUAGUUUUUAGUCUAUAAACAUCCAUCCCUACUCCACAUUUUCAUGUAAAGAUUAUGUAGAAGUUGGGCAACAGUGUAGUCACAGGAUGUCAUAUAAGUGUGAAUAAGCUGAGAUUAUUGCAUUUGUAUUUAGCAUAUUAUACAAUUAAAAUGUAUUUUAUUAAACCUGAAGCAAGUUUUCUUUCAUGUCUAGACAUCAGUGUGUUACAGAGUUUAAUUCAUUAAGCUCUGUAUUUGAAUAUAACACCUUGUAAAAAUGUUUGAAACUUAUCCUCUUGUAUGUUAAAUAUUUAAAUAUUUGUAUAUGGCCCUAUUCAGCCUGUGCUUUAUAAAUCACAAAAGAGCUGGGUUUUAUAUGUUUGUUUUUUAUUUCUAAGCUCUCUGCGAAAAAGUUACAAAUUGUCUCCUUAAGAUAUUUUUUCUUUGUAAUUUUUUUAUAUCAUGUUGUGAUUUCCAUAAAUAUGUGCAGUUACUCUUGAUAAUACUUGUCUUAUUCAUUUCAGGUUGCUAUAACAAAGUACCAUAGACUGGGUGGCUUAUAAACGACAGAAAUUUAUUUCUUACAGCUCUGGAGCUGGAAGUCUGAGAUCAGAUUACCAGCAUGGUUGGGUUCUGGUGAGAGCCGUCUUGGUUGCAGACUGCCAUCUUCUUGUAUCCUCACAUGGCCAAAAGAGGACAAGAGAACUCUCUGGAGUCUGUUUGAUAAGAGCAUGAAUCCCAUUACAUCUUCACAUGGCUCCUCCCAAAGACCCCACCUCCUAAUAUCAUCACAUGUCAUCACAUAGGGGGUUAGAAUUUCAACAUAGAAAUUUUGGGAGAACACAAACAUUCAGUCAGUUGCAAUACUUAAGGCAAAUUCAUCUUGCUUAUAACUCUGGUGCAUGUGCAUUAAAAUACUAUUGCAUUGUAACUGAGUUUGUACCUAUUUUCUGCUUUCUGAUUAUUUCCUUUGUUCAUGAAAAUAAAUGACUGGUAUUACAAGGUCACCUAAAUAAAUAGGUUUGUGUACGUCUGCGACUAGAGAGAAAUA